GAACGUGACUCAGAGGUAUGUGUGUCUCAGCAAGUACACUCGAUACAGAUCGUCCUUAGCAGAUGACUGAACUCAGGGCUCCGGGAGGCGAGGACCAAGGAACCCAGAGCAAAGCCCUCAAAACUUUUAUGCGAAGGUUUGAGUUAGGGUUCAAAAAUAUGACCUCUGUAAAUACGAUAACAGGAAGUCAUCUUACCUUUCUCACAUUGGAAGAGCCACAUGCCAGUCUACGUGAGUGAGUGGAGAACACUUUCAAGCAUUGCUCAUGGACUCAACACAGCCAAACAAAACAAACUGGAAAAGGAAAAUCAGUGGCCAGAGUGUAGCCAAAGAACAGGAAUCCCCAGCUCACUGCCAGCUCGAUCUUCUGAACUAACGUCACAGGCGUCACACCAGGUACUCACAGCAGUGCAGACGAAGACUCACAACGAGGCCCUCCCCUCCGCAGACACGCAGACUGAGAGCCCAGGCGGUGCUGAGCGGCACAAAGGGUUUGCGUGGAGCCCGUCAUCCUUGAGAAGGUGACGCACUCUCCCAGCCUUGAGAGGUGGAUCGAGGAGGGGGGAGGCAGUCAGAGUGUGUGCGAGGUGCGUGGAGGCGAGCAGUGUUGCAACCCCUCCAGCUCAUCCUCGACAAAGCCGUGUGUGCCCACCACGAGGUGUAGCCGGCCAUAAAGCUGGCGUGUCAGAGGGAACUGUGGCCAGCCAGGGUCGCAAUCAAGGCCUAAACAGCAUGGGCAGCACAGGCAGUUCCCAUGGCCAGCUGGGGGACAGUGGCCUCCACCCUGGGAGCAAUGCAGAGGCCACAAGCCGAGCUGUUGUUACUCUUACAGCAUCUUUCCAGGCAGCGUGUGGGAGUCGGUGAGCGUUGCCCGUGUUGUCAGCUAUUGAGGCCUUUGUACAAAGAUCGUGGAUCAGGCUGCCUAAGCUCUGACUCGGAGACCAGCCACUGCUGCCUGCUCCGUGCACCCUGAACCCGUGGCCUUGCCCCACCUCUUGUUAUUGCCCACCUUAUUCCUUUCCCUCACUGCUCCCCUUGGUGCUGGUCCGUGGUCAGGAGCCCCCACAGCCUGCCCCAACCUUACUUCCCUGGUUCUAUUCAAACAUCCAGACUUAUCCCUUGUCUCAGAAGCCAAUCUUUGACACUAAGUGUCAGUCUAGCUAAGUCUGGGAGGCCGGUCUCACAAAGUCAACCUGCCAGUGCGAUGAUGGAGGAUGACACUGGAUGAGUUACUCCCUCCAGGAAGGACAUUCCACGCAAUUCUACGUAAGUUUCAUUUGCAGCAGCGGACCACAGACUGCGGUGACGGCCACAUAAAGCCGUGUUCUUCCUCCCCGGCCCCAUGAGUGUCUCCAGGCCCGGCUGUAUGCUCCUCUGGAGAUGAUGUGCUGCUGGGCUAUUUCCGCCCCACGGCCUUCACGCCGGAGAGCCCACCAGCCCAGCCGCCUGCUGCAGGACGCUGAGGCCAACACCACCCCAUGCGCUGAGGUUUCUCUGCUGCCUGCAGAACGAAACUCUGGAAACAGUGACUCAGGAGCCGUGUCAAGACAGCAGCAUCCAAGAUGGGGAACCACAGGCCAGGCUGGACCAGGAACCUUCGACAGCCACCCAUGUUCAGGAAACAGCCCGAGACCACAGCCUGCACUACGAGCAGGAGUCGUGUCAACACUUCUGCACACCUGGGAAACUCGGCCCUGCCCAAUGCCUCCCGCCAGUGACAGAGCAGCCUGGGCCCCAGCACUCUGAGCAGGACGGGGAGGGGCCUGGAGCAGAACCCGCUGUGCCAGCCGCAGGAUCUCCUUGUUCUGCUGAAUGACCAGUAAGCUGGACGGAGGUGGACAGGGGGACUCAGAAUCCUCAGGCAGCUCCCAUGGGGAAACUGAGCAAGGGCGACCGUCAAGGAAGAAGAUGCGACACAGCCACUCUGCAGCCGUGUGACCCGGAGGCCGCAGCAGGAAUGGACGCGACGGACGCAAAGACAAGAGGUGCCACGAAGAGGGCAGGGGCCACGAAGAGGGCAGGGGCCCUGGAAAACACUUUCUUUCCAUUGCUUUUGAACCUCUGGUCAGUGACAGCGAUAGUCCAUGCAGGGCCUCUCCCUUAAUUUACUGAUAAAUUAAUUUAUGUAAUAAAUUACAUUAUUACAUAAUUAUUACAGUAAAUUAUUUCCAGCUACAUCCACCGUCACCCCAGGCUCCUCUCAUCACAGGCGAUCAUUUUAAAGAGCUUAGUGUGAAUAUUUUUAUUUGCAUAUGUUUUUUCUUUUUUUAAAAAAGAUUUUAUUUUUCCUUUUUCUCCCAAAGCCCCCUGGUACAUAGUUGUGUAUUUUUAAUUGUGGAUCCUUCUAGCUGUGGCCUGUGGGAUGCUGCCCCAGCACGGCCCAAUGAGUGGUGCCACGUCCAUGCCCAGGACUCGAACCAGUGAAACCCUGGGCUGCCGAAGCGGAGCACACCAACUUAACCACUCGGCCACAGGGCCGGCCCCCUAUUUGCACGUGUUUUUGCAAAACACAGAAUGUUUUGUGUUCAUGGAUUUUUAACUUACCACAAGUGGUUAUGUUAAACAUCGCAUUCUGUUUUCCACUAAACAUCAACAUAGCUAUAUGUUGCUAGAUUCCAUAUCGCUGUGUGUUUAUCUAAUUUAUUGUUUCCACUGCCGCAUAGCGUCCCACUGUGUGCCUCCACAUUUCAGCCCUCUGCUCUCCCCGGGACAGACAGACGUCCACAAAUAGUACUGCAGUUAGUGUUACUGUUACAUCCUCGUGGGGGCCCACGUGAGAACGCUCUAGGGUGCACAGCCAGGAGCUGUUAUUGGGACAUUGGUUAAUUUGACUAAAUCCUGCAGGAGUGCUUACCAGCAUGGCUGCAUCCCUCUGUGCCCGCAUUAGCACCUGUGGAACGUCCUCUGUCUCCAUAUCCCCAGGGCAGGCACCAUUGGCUAGAGGCAGGUCACCCUGUGGAGCCCUUCCCGUUUAGACUAGGGACAUUUUGCGUCUUGCUCCCAGGCAUGCAAAGUCAGUCACGAUCAAGUCUCAGAAGGCCAGGGGAACCUCCCCUCAACAGGAUGGAGGCACCUGGUGUUCAGCACUGCCCUCCAGCUUCUGCAAGAGGACCUGACACACAGCUGGCCCUCGUUCAGUGUUUGCUGAAUGAGUGACUGAAAGAAGAGAAGGUCGGAGUCCAGGGAAGGCCCCCCGACAAACCCGACAUUUGAAUGAGCCUUGGACAGUGAGUGAGUGAGGGUCAGCCAGGCCAGGUGGUGGUGGCACCUACAGCUGUCAUGGGUGAGGAGCUGGGGACGGGAGCACGAAGACAGCAACACAGGCCACUAAGGAAACACUUAUUAUGGGCCCCCUGGGCACUCGCCCCGAUCCCACCCCUCUUCACCAAAGCCGCUGGGACCGAGUUCAGACCCAAGAAGCAGGUCACAGACGGAAACCCUGCAGCCCCAGGGCGGAGACAGGGUCUCUCUAGAAGGAACUAGUCAACUUUCUGCAACGCAGUCAGAAGAGAGCAGGUUUGGAAUGAGGAAGACCCGCGUCCUCCCGGGCUCCCUGCAGUGAGGCAGACAGCGCGGGCAGCUGCUCAGCGUCCUCACGGGGAGGAGCGGGGAGGACGCCGACCCGACAGGGGCCUGAGGAAACUGACGGGGGCACGUUACAGCCAAAGACGCGCAAUAAUGAUAACGAUGACAGGCAGAUGACCGGAUGCUUUUUUGCCGAGCACUUUCCUUGAAGCCUCUCUUUCCCCAGCACCUGCUUCCACUCGGAAUGGCACCUGGCUCAGAGAGUGUGAGAACGUGUCAGAGACGACCACGCCAGCACACUCAUGCUUCAGAUGGGGAAACUGAGGCUUCGAACAGCUCACCCAGCUUCGAACACCAGUUGGAUUCCAGGAGGACAUACCCGGGUGGAGCGUCUGUUUCCUGAGAGUCCGGGCCCUGGGGCCUCCACAGGACCUGUUGGAGGUGCCGUGAUUUAGUCAGGGUGCGACGAAGGGCCAGCGCUUUCUACCUGCUGUCCAGGCUCCUGCUCUUUCUCCCGCUCCCUCAGUUCUUUGAGUUUUUCACCCUGGGAUCUCUUCCCAGCACGAGGAUUUUCAGGGAGAGUUCUAACCAGCAACGGAAAGGACUCAUCUCACAAGAUAGUCUAAGCGUCUCGGGCUUGCAGCCAGGCGCAGAAAGUGUGGAAACGGGCAGGUCCAGGGAAGGAAGGAUGUCCUGACCUAGCGAGGAGGAAUCCUGAGCAGACCUGUGGGGACCUCGCCCACGCUCAGAAAGGGUGUGGCUGAAUCUCUAGCGAAGAUGGAUGCUGAGGGGAAACUGCUGAAAUCACACACAUGCACAGGGACACAAGCACGCACACGCACAGGGAACGGGAGAAAAGAAGACGGAGGGGAAAACGGAGAUGGUUUAGACCAGCAACUCGUAUGAAUGAGCUGCUGGGCAGGACUUGAAGGAAUUGCAUGGUGAGUUAUGAAAAUCCAUCUAAAAUUUAAUUUAACUUAAAAAUCUGAAAGAGGAUACAGAAUCUAUUUUCCUGAGUGUGUAUAUAAACAGAGGAGUUCGUGUUUUAUCAUGAAUAGAGAGUAGAACAACUUGUAAAACGAGUCCUUCCCAUCUCUGGUUAGCACACUCCCUUUUCUCCUGAACUGGAGCUUCACAAACCGUGAAGAGUGUGUGUGAGUGUGUGUGUUGAAUUACUGUCUAGAUAAACGUGCACUUCGUGUCGCAUUGAUUUUCUGGUAAUUCAACCCCGACUCCUGGCAAAGCAUCCUGGGACAUUCCAGACUCAUGAACGCUGUUCUGGAAGGUCACAUCACAGUCGAGAUGAGCAGAAGCCCAAGUGCGUUUCAAAUAAUUCCUGGAUUCCUCUUAAAAUCAGGAAACAGAGCUCUUGCCCUGCUUUUUCUCCUAUUCGAGUAAGUGUCUUUCGUUAAAUUGCUAGUAUUUUAAGAAUUUGACCUAAUCCUCAAAAUACUUCCGUGGGAAAUGUGACAAGUGUUACCAAUACAAUUCUCCAGGGAUUAAAGAGAAUGCACUGUGCAGGCCAGCGAUGGAAGUGAACACAGGUGCCGAAUUUCACGACCACAGUUUAGUGGGCGGUCCAUCGCACGCCGUCAUUUCCUUGCCUCUAGAAAUCCGAAAUACGCUGUGCUGCACUGAACCUUCAAACUUGAGAUUUCUUUAACAAAAAUAAAAGGAAGCUAUGCUAUUAGAUUCCUCUUCACGCAGCACCAGAUCAGUCAAUUCAGUGAAGAAGAAAAGAGAUGAUCUAACAACCAGCACUAAAUCAGUCAAAAUCGCCUGGAGUUGGGUCAGCUGGCUGCAAUGAGAGCAGGGCCGCCCUUCCUCCCCCUGGAUCCUCUCCCUCGUCCCCAGCGUCGUUUCUCCAACACCCUACAUUCUAUUUCUGCCCAUUUUAGCUAAAGCUAAUGGGUCUUAGUUCUAUCAACACCACAGCCACUAAAUAGUGACGGUGCAUGUGAGCACAUGCCCAUCUAGGCUCGUCGCCUGUAGAGAUAGGUACUGUUAUCAUCCCCACUUUACUGAUGAGGAAAUGCGGGCCUGGACUCAGUCCCAUGACUGCCUAACUCCAGGGAGGUGGCCGGCCCUCACAAAGUUUACCUUCCAGUGAAGUCCUUGCUGAAAUUCAGAGCCCUGGGACUCAGGACAGGGAGCGGUUGGCCAGGGGUCUGUUUUUGAGCCCAUCAUCUGUGUUUGGACUUUGUUCUACCCUAAGUUUAACUCCCGCUCUGCAACUUUACCAGCUAUGUGACCUUGAGCAACUAAAGUAAACUUCUCUUAGCCGUUUCCACGCAGCUGUGUGCCUAGAAAGAAAAGGAGAUGAGGAGGUGCCGCCCAGCUGUCUUUGCUGUUACGGUGAAGGUCGCAUGGUGUUUUCUUUGUAUACAUGAUGGCUGACACCCAGGAAGGAUUCAAUAGAUGUUUUCCAAGUGAAGAAAAAAAUGAGGGAGUGUGCCAAAGGUUUUCCAGAUUCUGAUCCUGCUCUUGCUGCGGUGUCAUCAACUGACUUAGGAACACUGCCACUCGGCAAGGCGUUAGCGGCUCAGCCCAGCAUAAUCAACUUCAGCUUGGCUUUGGGACAGAAAAAAUGCCACACAGACACCCACUUCAAAGACACUUCUUCCAUAAAAUGAGCAGUCCCCUAACCAGGAGAACACCAAGGCGGUGCUCACGAUGGCAGCAGCAGAAAUUCAUCUCCAUCCACAAACUCGAGGGUACCAGAAUUAUUCCCUCUGCGUUUGCUCACUUCCUUUAAAUCAACUCCAUUUUUUCUGUAAGCUCCCAUCCCACCUGUCUGGGGCAAGGUUUCCUUUGAGAUGUCAUUGGAGGCUGAAUCUGCUCCCAAGAUAAGACCAGAAUGCAGGAGAAUUCUUGGGUCUCAGAACCGGGGGAGGUCCCCAAUCUCCAGUUUGUCCCAGUUCCUCCUGAGUUCCUUGUUGCCCAAACUGUCUGUGCUUAGGGCGUCUCUGCUGCGCUCCGAGCUGCAGUGGUCAGCCUCCCGAAGACACUCCAUGGCCAUCCCAGGUGAGGUCUUGCCUUCGUGGAGGUGUUCAAGGAGUCAAGGUUGGGAGUCCUGGUGGGGAAGAACACAGUCAAUGGCUGGUACUAAGGUUUGGUGUCACCCUCGUGAUUACUGCCAAGGAACUGUCGGUCUGACCCAGGUGGCCUUUGCAACCUCAGUGUGGAUGUCAACACGGUGGCUGUCGACGGACAGACCUCAGCUCAAGCACUCUUGCUGCGGGGCACUUUCAGCAGAAAAUUCCACAGCACCUCGGAAUCCAAGUCCACACGGCGGAAAGGAGUCUGACCUGCGCCACGUGACAGUAAAGCAGGGAACCCAGCGCCGAGAGGGACGGGCAAGCGCGGCCCACACACAGCCGCCGCCUGGAGACCUUCAGCCCAGCACCCACUUAGACCCGGCUAGUUCACACCCCACGGCCUAUCUGCUCCACUUCGUUCACCUGUCGUAAGCGCUAUAAUUACGUCGUCAUAGCACGUUACUGUCACUAAUCUAACCGCAUUGUCAGCGCUAAGUCUGAAAGCAGCAGGAAUACACUUCAGCCAGACGUCACUGUCUUCACCCACAGAGGAAACGUGGCUGUUUCACAGAGAACCAAACUGGAGUUCCUCAAGGGUGUUGGACUUUAAUCAUCACCAAAUGUUGCACAAAAGUCUCGCUAAGAGACUAGAUUUCACAUUCUGGGCACUUGGUAACGGUGAUAACAAGAUGAUCUCACGUGUGUAGCAAAGCAACUCCACCCCAGCCAGUCUGACCACCAUCACAGCUCAGCGUGACAGAGGGAGCGGCUCGCUAUUAAUCCAUUAUGCAGGAGGGAGCACUGAGAGACUAUGCCACUUCCCCAGGGCCGUAUAUCUGUAUUAAGUGAAACAGUACAACAGGCCAUUGCCUAAAAGCCUUUAAUCCUUUCUGUUAUUGGUUUGCAUGCGUUUUGACUCAUUAAAGGAUACUGUUUCCAUUUUCCCAUUGGUUCAAGGACAACGCCUGGAUUUAAUAUUCUUUCUACAAAGUCCUCAGAGUCUGUUCUUUUGAAUGAAGGGUUUCUGCCAACAGUUCACCCUGCGGACGCCUCCUGGGACGGCAAAGGCAAGACAGCGUGGAUUUGGAGCUGACAUGUUUUAUUUGUCAAGGAACAGAAGCUACUUGGUAUUUUUGCAGAAUGGAUCAUUCACAGUCAAGACAGAUCAUUGGAGAGACUUUAUCUGUUAUUAAGCACCAGCCGUUUCCAGAAUCCAGAAGGGAGAAGGAGUCGGUCACUGGGAUUGUAUGUUUGUGUCAUAACCUUGAUCAGGCAUCAAGAGAAUGGAGAAGAUUUUGGAAGUCUGGAAUUCCAACAGAUUUGCAGGGCCAGGCAAAGGCCUGGAGUCUGAGCAUAGUAGGGAGGCCGAGGGCAUAUCAGAUUUCUGAUGGGAGGAGGCAGAUGGGUGAUGCAUGAAUUCAGAGGUAGGUCUACAAACAGGCCCUGCUCAAAGGGGAUAGGACAACAAGACGGGUAGGAAAACGGGUCAAGCCAAGGUCUGUGUCUUGAGCUCCUUCCAUCCUAUCAGGGAAGAUAUGACACAGCUAGUAGGUAUGAUAGCCAGGACCGCCACCUAGGCCGUCUAGCUCCAGAGUCCCCAGGCCCUUAAUGGCCCAGGGCAUAACUGUAAGGCAUUAAGAAAAGUGCCAGUUGAGUACCACAUGGGAGCAGAAGGAGGGAGAGAGGCAGGCAGAUGCCAUUCUACCUGGAGGAAUGAGGACAGCUUCAGAGAAUAAGGAACGCUCCACAGAGGGGUGCAUUUGAACUGGGCUUGGAUGCUGGGGAAAAAUUUUGACAGGAGACAAGAGUGUGAAUGACGGAAAAGCCCCAUCUAAACUGGCUUAGGUGAAGAGGACAUGUUUUGGCUCACACGUCUGAAAAAUCUAGCGAUAGUUCUGGCUCUGGGCUCCGUUUGGUCAGGGCUGUCUAACAGCGUUGUAGGGACAGAAAGAAAACUUCCUCUGCUAGCCUGACUUCUCCAGCUGGAGCCCUACAAGUUAGACCGAGAAAAAACACAUUAAUAAGAGAAAAACGGAGUUUAUUAACAUGUGCAGGAGUUUAUUAACUCGGAGUUUAAUUAAUUAAUAAAUUGAUGAGGGAGUUUAUAACAUGCACUCAAAGGGGUGGUUAGCCCCUGGGUUGGUAGCAUUUUAACGAAGAGUGGUACAUCUGCAGAGAAGUGAAGAGGCAAAGGCAAAGGUUUGGGCUUCCCAGGGCAGCAGACUCGGGAGGUCAAUUCAUGGGGAAUCCAAGGAGGAAGGUUGUCUGUGCAGGUUCAUCUCGGCACCAAGGCUCCUUCUCCUUCACGGCCGUGAAACUUCCCCGGGAGAGGAGCCCGAGGCAGUCCUCCUUUCUCAGAAGCUUCUACUCUUAGUCAGAUGAAGCAGGCUCCAACAAUGCUUCCUUCUGCCGCCGCUGAUUCUCCUUUUCCUCCAACUCAAAACAACCUUUAUGCCAACACGGCAUAUUUUAAUCCCUCAGCAUCUUCAGGACCUGGUUUCUCACUCUCUCUUAGCUCUGCUUUGGGCCUUGUUGGCCCCUCCCUGAGGUGGGCUCUGUCCUCCUGAUGGCAAGAUGGCUGCAGCAGUCCAACGGCUGCGUUCUUAACCCCUGCACCUGACUUCCUUCCCUGCGAAGGAGCUCAGGCUGCAUCCUGAGGAGACAAGUUCUUCUGUGGAAACAGUAAAUCAACUGCCUGUGUAUUUCUGUACCCCAAUAUUAGAAUAUCUCUAUUCAAUAGUCUGAAUUUACCUAUGUACUUGCUCCAGCCUCAGGCUCCUUGGCCUGUAUGGUGUGUGUGGAGGUGGGCACUGAACCCAGUUGGCUGGGCCUCAAUCUAGAAAUGGCUCCCCAACCCCUGUGGUUCCAGAUGCCGUCUCCCGAGAGGAAGCCAUCCAAUGAGAAACCGGAGGAGCGCUGGACGUGGCAGGAUCCUGCAGCCGGUCUCCACCGCCCACUUUGUGCACACUGACUCCUGGUAAAGCCAGAUCAGCCCGCCCUGAAGGUUUUACCGGCCUGAACUACUUUUCUCCAGUUGUGCAGUAGUUUUUGUCUCUCCUGGGAGAGGAGCACUGAUCUACCAAAGAUUUUUCAUUCCACAAAUAGGGGGCCGCUUAAGUGCACAAGGAUUCCACCAAGUGCCGCGGACACAGCCCCGACCUCCACGGGGCAAAGCGAGGAGGAAGGACUGACCGGCACUUCAGAACCGCAGUUCAGAGUCACUUCAGAGGCUCAAUUCGGAAUUUCAGAACGUGCCUCCCUCGUUCUGUAGUAAGAGCCUGUCGUCUGGCACUAUAUGACGAACCCCUUAAAUGAUGACCACACAGAGUCCAGGGCCCAGUUCCUGAGCAAACGCUUUCCUCCCUCAUCUACCAGUUAGAACUGGAAUUUAUCUGUAAUCCUGGCUGUUUCAGGAUCUCUGCCACUGCUAUGUCCACGGAGAGUUUCAUGGCAGGUGAUGGCUGAGGGUGCUGGUUCUAGAAUCAGGAGACCUGGAUUUGAUCCUCACUUCCACCACUGCCAGCUGUACAAACAGGGCAAGUAUCUUAUCUCUGUAAACCUCAGUUUACCCAGACAAAAACAGAGAUUGCAGUAGUACCCCAUUUAUAGGUUAUCAUGUGAGGGUUAUUAAAUAAUAUGAAGGGGCUAAGAAUAUGCCACCCAAAAUAUGCCACUUUGGCAUAGGAUUAUUUUGAGCUGAAGGCAAUUGAGAAACAAUAGAUGCAGAACAAAGCUCUCCACUUCGUCCUAUUUGCCUAAAAGCAGGGCAUGAAUCUCCCUUCGUGGAGGUGCCCCUGCCCCACAUUCUUGUACCAGGAAGGGUGGAAGGACUUCAUCCCCAGAGACAACUCCAGACUCAUCUGUCAGAGGCGGCACCUGGAGGAAUCUGCAUUACAAACCUUACUAAAAUGAUCAACGCUUAUCUGCCAUUGCUGUCCCUGUACAUUUACCUCCCACAGGGGACCACCCCUAGAAGCUCAAAUCCUUUUCCUCCUUCUUGUCGUGUCUCUACAUUUGUUGCUCUUUGUUAAAAUGGCACAUAAGCUUCCAGGUCUGUCUACCUCUUUGGAGUUUACUCUUCACUUCUGUGAAGGCUCCCAUAUUUAUAGGAAAUAAACCUUUUUCUCCUGCUACUCUGUCCUUUAUCAGUUUAUUUUUCAGGGGCUCAGCUACUAAAACUGAGAGAGUAGAGGAAAAAGGUUUUUUUCUCCCCACAAAUAUCACAUAUUCAAAAAGUUUUGCUUACAUCCUAGCAAAAGAAUGAAGGUAGACCAUUAUCCUACACCAUGCACAAAUAUUAACUAAAAAUGGAUUAAAGACUUGAAUGUAAGACCUGAAACCAUGAAAUUUCUAGAAGAAAACAUAGGCAGUACGCUCUUUGACAUCGGUCUUAGCAGCAUUUUUUCAAAUACCAUGUCUGACCUGACAAGGAAAACAAAAGAAAAAAUAUACAAAUGGGACUACAUCAAACUAAAAAGCUUCUGCACAGCAAAGUAAACCAUCAACAAAACAAAAAGACAGCCUAACAAUUGGGAGAAGAUAUUUGCAAACCAUAUAUCUGAUAUUUUGGUUAAUAUCCAAAAUAUACAAAGAACAUCUCAACAACAAAAAAACCAACAACCCAAUUAAAAAAUGAGCAAAAGAUCUGAACAGAGAUUUCUCCAAAGAAGAUAUAUGGAUGGCCAACAGGCUUAUGAAAAGAUGCUCAAUAUUAUUAGCUAUCAGGGAAAUGCAAAUGAAAACUGCAAUGAGGUAUCACCUCACUCCAGUCAGAAUGGCUAUAAUUAAAAAGACAAGAAACAACAAGUGUUGGAGAGGGUGUGGAGAGAAGAGAACCCUCGUACACUGCUGGUGGAGUGCAAACUGGUGCAGCCGCUAUGGAAAGCAGUAUGGAGUAUCCUCAGAAAAUUAAGAAUAGAUCUACCAUAUGAUGCAGCUAUCCCACUGCUGGGUAUUUAUCCAAAGAACUUGAAAACACAAAUGCAUAAAGAUACAUGCACCCCUAUGAACAUUGUGGCAUUAUUCACAAGAGGCAAGACUUGGAAGCAGCCUAGGUGCCCAUCAAGGGAUGAAUGGAUAAAGAAGAUGUGGUAUUUAUACACAAUGGAAUGCUACUCAGCCAUAAGAAAUGAUGAAAUCCAGCCAUUUGUGACAACAUGGAUGGACCUUGAGGGUAUUAUGCUGAGUGAAAUAAGUCAGAGGGAGAAAGUCAAAUACCUAUGAUCUCACUCAUAAGUAGAAGAUAAAAACAGUGACAAACAAACACAUAGCAACAGAGAUUGGAUUAGUGGUUACCAGAGGCGAAGUGGGAAGGCAGGAGGGUGAAAGGGGUGAUUAGGCACGUGGGUGCGGUGAUGGAUAUAAUUAGUCUUUGGGUGGUGAACGUGAUGUAAUCUACACAGAAUUUGAAAUAUAAUGUACACUGGAAAGUUAUAUAAAAUUAUAACCCAAUGUUAAUGCAAUUUAAAAAAAUAAAGUUAUAAACAGUAUCCUUGACUCAUUUCUGGCUACUUUUUCCUAAAGGUGGCUUCUAGUUAGCUCCUGCGGCCUAUGAAGCAAAUUGUGAUGAACUUCUUCAUAACUUUCUUCAGAUUCAACACUUACAGGGAGCUUGGUGCGUGAGCCCCCAGUGUGAACUACGCACGGUUCCUAUCUCCAUUUACAGACGAGGAAACAAGACUCAGCGACGUGGAAUAACAGAGCCCAGAAAACAACAACAAUAACAACAAACACUCGCAGAAAAUAGAAUCCUACCUCCAGGCUCAGCAAUGAGUGAUUUUCGCAUUCAGAAUAAUGAAAACACAGAAUGUGAGUUGUUAUAAAAUUUUGGUAGAAAUGUAUUUCAGGAUGCGGUAAAAGGAAGGAGAGCUAAAAUCCUCAUCCACUUCCACAUCUAAAAUCGAUGAACGAUAGCAGCAUAUGCAUAUUAUUUAGAAAAGUGGACCCAGUUCAAGAACGGGGAGCUAACAGGGUAGAAGAGAGUUGCCUCUGGAGAGUGGGCCAGUGUGCCCCGGAGAACGGAGCUCCAGCCCUAAGCCCCCUCGUCCCCUUCACCUUCGCAGAUCCUGGGCAGGUGUUGCUGUGUUAAAACAACAUUUGUGGGGCCGGCCCCGUGGCCGAGUGGUUAAGUUCGCGCGCUCUGCUGCAGGCGGGCCCAGGGUUUCGUUGGUUCGAAUCCCGGAUGCAGACAUGGCACCACUCAUCAAACCACGCUGAGACAGCGUCCCACAUGCCACAACUAGGAGGACCCACGAUGAAGAAUAUACAACUAUGUACCAGGGGGCUUUGGGGAGAAAAAGGAAAAAACAUAAAAAUAAAAAAAAUAAAUAAAAACAACAUUCGUUUCAUUGAACUUGGUCCAUAAAUCAGUGCACUGGAAUCAGCAUCACUAGCUCCUCCUGCCCUGAGUGAAGGCAGAGGAUCCGAGCCUCGCCCAGCCCGCACGCUCCACGGCCUGGAGCCCUUUGUCCUGUGUAAUCCAGGCACGGUUGCUGGGG
Molecule: long non-coding RNA, 13060 nt
Filed under: Equus caballus (horse)
Lineage: Eukaryota; Metazoa; Chordata; Mammalia; Perissodactyla; Equidae
Description: lncRNA (ENSECAG00000047028.1)
Source: RNAcentral